UGCAGAUGACUUUCAGCACGUCUAGUU
This 27-nucleotide non-coding RNA is filed under the name Rattus norvegicus (Norway rat). The record is from RNAcentral. Lineage: Eukaryota; Metazoa; Chordata; Mammalia; Rodentia; Muridae.